UGGGAUCGUUCUUUAGGAUAUUGAUUUUCCUUUCGUAUUUUUUAGGAACAAUGUUGGUCAGUUCACGCGUUUCUAUUAGCUUGUUAGAGAAAGAAAGGCAGCAAUUGCACGGACUGCAGUUGAGAGCUUCUGCCUUUAACUUUCCGCCGUGUCUCUCUAUCGAAAAGAAGCCGUCAGGAAAUGUGACGUAUUUUGGUAUCUGCCACGAUAUCGUUAGUUGGAUCGCGGAACAUUUUCAUAUGCAGUUGAUUUUCGUCCCGACAGAUAAUACGGAUAUAGUCCGACAUGGAAUAAUUCCUGCGCUCAUCAGCCAAAUUGUGAAAGGGGCAAGU
Long non-coding RNA from Daphnia pulicaria, 332 nucleotides. RefSeq lists it as uncharacterized. The record is from RefSeq and is a predicted model, not a curated record. The transcript is spliced from 3 exons. NCBI's taxonomy places the organism in Eukaryota, Metazoa, Arthropoda, Branchiopoda, Diplostraca, Daphniidae.